This 484-nucleotide ribosomal RNA is filed under the name Psychrobacter sp. 'ARUP UnID 559'. RNAcentral's name for it is "bacterial SSU rRNA". It matches the Rfam family "Bacterial small subunit ribosomal RNA", at positions 27 to 506 of the family's 1533-position model. Lineage: Bacteria; Pseudomonadati; Pseudomonadota; Gammaproteobacteria; Moraxellales; Moraxellaceae. The record is from RNAcentral.
GAUUGAACGCUGGCGGCAGGCUUAACACAUGCAAGUCGAGCGGUAACAGGAGAAGCUUGCUUCUYGCUGACGAGCGGCGGACGGGUGAGUAAUACUUAGGAAUCUGCCCAGUAGUGGGGGAUAGCACGGGGAAACUCGUAUUAAUACCGCAUACACCCUACGGGGAAAAGGGGGCGCUUGCGCUCUCGCUAUUGGAUGAGCCUAAGUCGGAUUAGCUAGUUGGUGGGGUAAAGGCCUACCAAGGCGACGAUCUGUAGCUGGUCUGAGAGGAUGAUCAGCCACACCGGGACUGAGACACGGCCCGGACUCCUACGGGAGGCAGCAGUGGGGAAUAUUGGACAAUGGGGGCAACCCUGAUCCAGCCAUGCCGCGUGUGUGAAGAAGGCCUUUUGGUUGUAAAGCACUUUAAGCAGUGAAGAAGACUCUAUGGUUAAUACCCAUAGACGAUGACAUUAGCUGCAGAAUAAGCACCGGCUAACUCUGU